CUUUCCUGUGGCUCAGUUGGUAGAGAAUUGUGCAGACACUGCAAAGGUCGUGGGUUUGAAUCCCAGGGAAACA
Non-coding RNA from Danionella cerebrum, 73 nucleotides. NCBI's taxonomy places the organism in Eukaryota, Metazoa, Chordata, Actinopteri, Cypriniformes, Danionidae. The record is from the annotation of a GenBank genome assembly.